GGCAGGGGUCCCAUGGAGAUGCUGUGUUGGUAGAAGGAAGCCUUCCUACCCCAUCAAGAACCCUUUACUGGACAGUGGAUGUGACUGACAUAGAAACCCAUCCGUAUCCCUCUAUUCUCCUCCCCUUCCAGCCCCAUUCUCCUGACCCUGGACACCUCUGCCUUGCCCUUUGCCCAGGGGGCCUUUUUCAAAGACCUAUUCUUCCUUCUGCACCUGCACUGGGUAGCUCCUCCUCCUGCAGGAAGCUGUCCCAGCCCACUCCAGCGGGGUCUGGAGCCCUCGUCAGUGCUCCUGAUCGUGGCGUGCCUCACUAGAUCUAAACCAGUUCGAGGACUUCUUUGAGCCGCUUCUCACAUUGGGCCUGGGCACGGUGCAGCAAGAAGAUCUGCUCCUCUUUGGUCAUGACGUCAUCUGCAUCCACCUACCAAGCCGAAGGUCAGAUUGCAGGCAGGACUUCCCAGCAGAGCGGCAGACUCCACAACUAUCCCAACCUCCUUGAGGGAUUCCCCCCCCCUUUCCAAAGAAUGCGGGAAAUCUGCCUUAUGUAGCUCCAUUGUACAGACGGGAAGCCUCGGCUUCAAGGGGAAGGGCCUGCCCCACCAUAGGGAAAAAAGGGGGAGGGGUGCUGUCCCCUGCUUGCCCGAUAGUAACCCCAUAGGCUGCAGCCACUGAUAUUCUCUGUCCAGUCUGUUCCCCAGGGGUACAUGGGAAAGGGAUGGAAUGUCCCAGGGUGGAUCCUCACAGGAUCCUGGCUGUCUAUUGGGGACCUGGGUGGAGAGGGGGUGGAUAAGGGGUGGUGAACUCUGGGGAAAGAAACGGGGCCUGGAUUCCUUCAAGUCCUAGUGCCCUCGGGACCUUGGGAGUCACCAAUUUCCAUCCUGGCCCUCUCCCCAGUCAGUGCUUUCCCCGUGAAUGGAGAGUGCCUCAACUCCUCCCACCCUUGAGGUCCCAAGAGGGAGAGGAUGGAGAAAUUGCUGGCAAGUGGUCUGGGUUGGGCGGGGCACUCCUGUGCAGGCUGUGGGUGGGAGUCACCCACAUCCAUUGCUUAUCUGGAAGUUUCCCUACAUCCAAGUAGACCCUGUGUUCUGAUGAUGUGGACCGGCCUUUGCUCCCGCUGUUCCCUCUGCCUGGAAUGUCCUUCCUUUCUUUCCUUCCAGCAUGUACACCCUGGGUAUUGGCUGCCACCCACGAGGAUUCACUGGCAUCAUUUUAAGGAAGGGAGCAGGAACGUCACGGAGGUGGGGUACCUCUGUCAGUAACCACCACCACCAUCACCACCACAACCAACACCACCAACACAACCACGCCGCCCACCGCCAAUACCACCGAUACCACCGGCAGCGGCAGCAGCAGCACCACCAUUACCCCCAUGAGCACUAACUACUAUUACCAUCGGUAUACCCACCAUCAUCACCAUCACAACUGGUAGAACAUCAUUACCAUCACCACCACCAGUGCUGUUUCCACCAGCACGAUUACCACCGUGACCAUCACCACCACCUCCAGUAUUACCACCAGCAUUGCCAUCCCCACCAGCACCAUUACCACCAAAGGCAACAUCAGCACCAUCACUGCCACCAGCCCCAUAACCACGGCAAAACAAAGGAGGAAAUACAAGGGAUCCUUCUUCAGCUGCUGACACCUCUGUCUCUGGGAAAGAGGCUCCUUCUACUGCUUGGUGUCAGCCUCAGGAUGCCCUCUUGGGUCAUCUCAUCUAUCGCUCUGACUGGCGUCAGCCUGCUCCCCCAGCGGAAGACAGCUGCUGGCUUCUUGCUCACCUCUAGAGAAAGCAGAUCUACCAACAUUCAUCCCUGGAUGUGACCGGUGUCUCCCACCCCACGAAAGCCCCUCUACAUGUUGGCAACAGCCAUUGCCCCCGGAGCUUUAACCACAUCUCCUUCAACAUCCCCAUCUUACGAAUGAGGCCACUGAGGCGAGAGUACAGUUCGAAAGAAGGGGGCCAGGAAUGGAGCUAAGGUCUGCUUGAUACUGAAGCAACAACCCCAGAGGAAGGGAAAGAAAGGAGGAAGUACCCCGCCACGUGGGUCCUCUAGUGACAGCCUCAAUACCAGUUUUCCACAGAGUUCUUCUGGAUUCUGUCUUUCACUGUGUCAAGCAAGAGCCUCUUUGCAGAGCACCUAAGGCAGCUUCCACAAAGGGAGACACAGAGCAGUGAUGCUCAGAGAAGCAGAAGAUAGGAGGACCCUAACCACAGAUUUCCAGACCUGGGACCCCAACCCAGUCUUCAGAAAUAGGUCUUCCUGGAUCUGCUUCUGAGCCCCCAGCAGAGUAAGACGUCUCCUAGGUCUUCCUGGAUCUGCUUCUGAGCCCCCAGCACAGCUCUGCCAGGAUCUUGUCUGCUGGGCUGUCAUUCCCAAGGGGCAUGGAGCCCAGGCUGGGACCUGGGAGAGAGAG
Molecule: long non-coding RNA, 2415 nt
Organism: Lagenorhynchus albirostris (white-beaked dolphin)
Lineage: Eukaryota; Metazoa; Chordata; Mammalia; Artiodactyla; Delphinidae
Exons: 7
Source: RefSeq, a predicted model, not a curated record